UAAUACGGAGGAUCCGAGCGUUAUCCGGAUUUAUUGGGUUUAAAGGGUGCGUAGGUGGUUUUUUAAGUCAGCGGUGAAAGUUUGUGGCUCAACCAUAAAAUUGCCGUUGAAACUGGGAGACUUGAGUGUGUCUGGGGCAGGCGGAAUGCGUGGUGUAGCGGUGAAAUGCUUAGAUAUCACGCAGAACCCCGAUCGCGAAGGCAGCUUGCCAAGCCACGACUGACACUGAAGCACGAAAGCGUGGGGAUCAAACAGG
This 256-nucleotide ribosomal RNA is filed under the name uncultured bacterium. Its description in RNAcentral is "partial 16S ribosomal RNA". It matches the Rfam family "Bacterial small subunit ribosomal RNA", at positions 521 to 776 of the family's 1533-position model. The record is from RNAcentral.